Molecule: ribosomal RNA, 468 nt
Filed under: uncultured bacterium
Lineage: Bacteria
Description: partial 16S ribosomal RNA
Rfam family: Bacterial small subunit ribosomal RNA
Source: RNAcentral
GACGAACGCUGGCGGCGUGCUUAAUACAUGCAAGUCGAACGGAAAGGCCCUGCUUUUGUUGGGUGCUCGAGUGGCGAACGGGUGAGUAACACGUGAGUAACCUGCCCUUGACUUUGGGAUAACUUCAGGAAACUGGGGCUAAUACCGGAUAGGAGCUCCUGCUGCAUGGUGGUGGUUGGUAAGUGUCGGCGGUUUGGGAUGGACUCGCGGCUUAUCAGCUUGUUGGUGUGGUAGUGGCUUACCAAGGUUUCGACGGGUAGCCGGCCUGAGAGGGUGACCGGCCACAUUGGGACUGAGAGACGGCCCAGACGCCUACGGGAGGCAGCGGUGGGAAAUAUUGCGCAAUGGGCGGAAGCCUGAUACAGCAACGCCGGGUGCGGAAUGACGGCCUUCGGGUUGUAAACCGCUUUCGCCUGUGACGAAGCGUGAGUGACGGUAGUGGAUAAGGAAGCACCGGCUAACUACGUG